This is a non-coding RNA of Macaca mulatta (Rhesus monkey), 528 nucleotides long. The record is from RefSeq and is a predicted model, not a curated record. Lineage: Eukaryota; Metazoa; Chordata; Mammalia; Primates; Cercopithecidae.
GGAGAUGCUUCCCCGGCACCUACCUGAACCAUAGCUGGAUGCUGAUUGCUCUUUCUGCCUCCUGCUUUUACUCCCACCCUCACCUCCUUCUCCACACUCCUACCACCGAUGUCUUCUAAAAUGCAAAUCUUUCCCAUUGCAGAACUGCUGAGAAUAAUCGAAAAUGCUCUGCCUGGCAACUUCCAAGAACAAAACCCCAGGGACUAAGAGAACGCGAUGAUUUUUAAGCUGCCAGUUAAGAUGUAGGUCCUUCAUCAUCACAGGUGAAGCACCAAUGCCUCUCGCACGUGAAAUCCGUACACUCCUAGAGUCUUACUACCUAAUGCAUUUCCGCAAUCCGGGACGCCUGUCAUUAGCGUCUCCAAUAGUUCUGGGAACGAGGUGGACUGCGGAAGUACUGUAUUAAAAAGUUAACGUUUUUCCCUGGGACACCCCCUCCUCACAGCUAUUAACGAGGGUAGAGAAAUCAGGUGACUCCCAGUCAUCAUGCAGAGGUUUCCUUACCAUUUACGAUCCAGUCAAAUUAAA